CUACUCUACAGGGCCGGUUGUUGCUGGAGUGGUGGGCCUCACCAUGCCCAGAUACUGCUUGUUUGGAGACACUGUGAACACAGCUUCUCGGAUGGAAUCAACAGGCUUACCUUAUCGCAUUCAUGUCAGUCUCAGCACUGUUACAAUUCUUCAAAAUCUGAGUGAGGGCUAUGAAAUGGAGCUUCGAGGAAGAACAGAGCUCAAGGGCAAAGGCACAGAGGAGACCUUCUGGCUGAUUGGGAAAAAAGGCUUCACGAAGCCCCUUCCUGUGCCCCCACCAGUGGACAAAGAUGGGUAAGUGGAGUUCACAUUUAAUUGGAGUCUUCCUAUGCCAUACUCUGCCACACUUUCUUCACUACCUAUUUGAUGUCUCCCCUGCCCUGCAGGCAAGUGGGCCAUGGCCUACAACCAGUGGAAAUUGCAGCCUUCCAAAGAAGAAAAGCAGAAAGGCAGUUGGUGAGAAACAAGCCAUAAGGGGCAAAGGGCUCCAAGAUUUGAAUCUUCUCUCGGUGAGGCAAUGGAAAAGCUCACUUCAGUUCAACAAAUUGUUCUGCUUGGGCAAGAAAUUAGUGAAUGACUACACCUCUGAGGAUGACCUAAUUCUGGUGUGAGCAGGACACUGGGAAGUAUUUUUAAAAGUUUCGCUCAGUACCCAGCUAUCACUAGCAAGGCUGUAUGAAUGUAAACUGCAAUAGAUGUGAACCUUAUUGAAGAGUAGAGAGCCACCUCCAAGUUUAGUCAUUCCAAAGUAGCAGGCCCAACUUGGAUGAAGAUGAGAAGCUCUCUAUUUUCACAGAAAAAAUGUAGGAGGCACUAUGUUUUCUUUUUCAUUUCGUUUUAAUCUCUAGAAAGUAUUUAAUGAACAUAAUUUAUAACUCAGAUACUAUAAGAUUAGGGCCAGGAAAAAAAAAAAAAAAAAACCUUCAGCAAACAUACAUCUGAAUCCCAGUCUAUUGUGACCUCAAUUGGCUGGAAUGCGUAAGGAAGAAGGAGGGAGAAGAGUCUGGUUAAUUGUGUUGUUUGGAUAACUGAAGGCUAAGAAGUUUCUUUGUUUCCUUAUUGCUCAUUUUUCAAAAUCUUUCCCAAACUGUCACGGUCUCUUU
This 1103-nucleotide long non-coding RNA is filed under the name Rhinopithecus bieti (black snub-nosed monkey). RNAcentral describes it as "lncRNA (ENSRBIG00000046178.1)". Lineage: Eukaryota; Metazoa; Chordata; Mammalia; Primates; Cercopithecidae. The record is from RNAcentral.